Apis laboriosa (Himalayan honeybee) is the source of this 975-nucleotide long non-coding RNA. RefSeq lists it as uncharacterized. The record is from RefSeq and is a predicted model, not a curated record. Lineage: Eukaryota; Metazoa; Arthropoda; Insecta; Hymenoptera; Apidae. The transcript has 2 exons.
UUUCGGUCUUUUUCUUUUUCCUACGUUGAUUUCUGUUUCCGGUUCCGCGCCAGAUUUCCCGCUAAGUAAAACGAUGAACCUUUGAGGAUAUUCUUCUAAUCGAUUUUCCUCUCGAUAUAGUGCAUAGUUCGGGUUGAAUCGUAAUAGGUUAGGAUAUCGCGCGGCGAUGUAUUGUACGUUGCGUAAUAUGGUAAUUUUGAAUAUGUUUAAGGAAUGCAUGGGGAGUUGGAUGAAGAUGAGAGGUUAGUGAUUUUUGUGGAGUGAUAUCCAAGUGUUUGGGAUUUAAUAGACUUUGUUUAAAAUUUGAAGAAUGAAAGAAAGUGUUCGACGUGAAAAGUUGAAUAGUGGUUUUAAUACUAAAUUUGAAGUAUAUAAUUCGAACUUUGCAUAAAUUUUUGCAUUUGCGUAUCAUUUUAAUGGGAAUGAUAGAGUUUCCAUGUAAAACAAUGGGAUAUGAUAUUAUUUGUAAAUAUACAUCGUCUGUUUCCACGAAUUCAUAUUUAUAUUCCCAGAGAGAAUAGAAAAAAAUGGGAAAAAUUUCUACCAAUCAAGAUCUUCUAAAAUAAUUAAUCAUAUUCUCAUUCGAGAUAUUUUAGAAAAAAUAUUCAAGAGUAUUAAAAUUUGUCUUCAAAUCCAUUCGAUCAAGAUUUAGAUGGACAAUAAUGCGUGAAUAUAUCCCGCCCAUGAUAGCAAAAACAGGUACCGUUAGCGGAUUAUUAAUAUUCAUGAUGUCAGCGAUACGCUUGGGCAUUGCAAUACAAGGUUUCCUUGUACCCUAUUCAUCGAACGUGUCUGUUUCUCGGAAAAACGAGCAACUGCGUAUCGGUAUGCAAGCAAUAAUGCAAUACGAUUGAUCGUUGUGCAAUGCUUCACCGCCACCGAUACUGUUUCAAAACGUAUAUUAGCGCCGAGUGAUCGAAAAAUUUUUUAACAAUCCUUAUUCUCUUCUAGAAAUUAAAAAUUAUUAUUAUAAAA